GCCUCUUCCUCCCCCGACCGCCGCCGGGCCGAGUCCUCUGGCGCCGCCGCUCCGCUUCCUCGCCGUCACCCUCCAAAACGGCCACGGCAGAAGCCCCACCUAUCAUCUCGACAGCCGGAUUAGUUAGUCCGGCGGCCGGACCUCCACUCCCCCUUUUCCCACCUCCAGAAACACUCCGGAUUAGUGAGCGAUUCGACUUGGUAUCUUAAAUGGAGUCGUUGCCGAUUUCCCGUUGAUGAAGAAUGAUUGUUUUCUUCUCCGCUAAUCUUCUCAAUCGGUGAGAGAUAGUGACUUCUUGUUAACUCCAUCGAUACAGUUCAUGGUUCUCUGACUCCGUCAUGUCCAUGCGUCGAAAGAUGGCCUUGGGUUGGGUGCACUGCAACCGCCAGCAAACAAGAAGAAGUUGAUGCAUGUUCUUCUCCUCUAAUUCUUCUCAGUCGGCGAGACAUGAUGCUUCAAAAUGAACAAGUCGCCGUCUUGACGGAGAAGUUAGCUCGAAUCUAGAGCAAAAGCGCUGAUAACGUGUUAAAAGUAGAAGUACUUAAAUGUAAAUGAGAGACAUAAAGUGAGAGAGGAAUAAAAUUCUUAUAUUGAUCUCAA
Long non-coding RNA from Panicum virgatum (switchgrass), 600 nucleotides. RefSeq lists it as uncharacterized. Lineage: Eukaryota; Viridiplantae; Streptophyta; Magnoliopsida; Poales; Poaceae. The record is from RefSeq and is a predicted model, not a curated record. The transcript is spliced from 2 exons.